UGCAGUCGAACGGUAGCACAAAGGAGCUUGCUCCUUGGGUGACGAGUGGCGGACGGGUGAGUAAUGCUUGGGAAUCUGGCUCAUGGAGGGGGAUAACUACGGGAAACUGUAGCUAAUACCGCGUAAUAUCUUCGGAUUAAAGAGUGGGACCGCAAGGCCACUUGCCAUGAGAUGAGCCCAAGUGGGAUUAGGUAGUUGGUGGGGUAAAGGCCUACCACGCCGACGAUCUCUAGCUGGUCUGAGAGGAUGACCAGCCACACUGGAACUGAGACACGGUCCAGACUCCUACGGGAGGCAGCAGUGGGGAAUAUUGCACAAUGGGGG
Molecule: ribosomal RNA, 324 nt
Filed under: Actinobacillus hominis
Lineage: Bacteria; Pseudomonadati; Pseudomonadota; Gammaproteobacteria; Pasteurellales; Pasteurellaceae
Description: bacterial SSU rRNA
Rfam family: Bacterial small subunit ribosomal RNA
Source: RNAcentral